Molecule: ribosomal RNA, 484 nt
Filed under: uncultured bacterium
Lineage: Bacteria
Description: partial 16S ribosomal RNA
Rfam family: Bacterial small subunit ribosomal RNA
Source: RNAcentral
AUUGAACGCUGGCGGCAUGCUUUACACAUGCAAGUCGAACGGCAGCGCGGGCUUCGGCCUGGCGGCGAGUGGCGAACGGGUGAGUAAUACAUCGGAACGUGCCCAGCUGUGGGGGAUAGCUCGGCGAAAGCCGGAUUAAUACCGCAUACGACCUGAUGGUGAAAGCGGGGGAUCUUCGGACCUCGCGCUCUUGGAGCGGCCGAUGGCGGAUUAGCUAGUUGGUGGGGUAAAGGCCUACCAAGGCGACGAUCUGUAGCUGGUCUGAGAGGACGACCAGCCACACUGGGACUGAGACACGGCCCAGACUCCUACGGGAGGCAGCAGUGGGGAAUUUUGGACAAUGGGCGAAAGCCUGAUCCAGCAAUGCCGCGUGUGUGAUGAAGGCCUUCGGGUUGUAAAGCACUUUUGGCGGGAACGAAAAGGACUGUGCCAAUACCACGGUUCGAUGACGGUACCCGCAGAAUAAGCACCGGCUAACUACGUG